UGCCAGCCGCCGCGGUAAUACGGAGGGUGCAAGCGUUGUUCGGAAUUACUGGGCGUAAAGAGCGUGUAGGCGGGAUAGUAAGUCAGAUGUGAAAGCCCUGGGCUUAACCCAGGAAGUGCAUUUGAUACUGUUAUUCUUGAGUAUGGGAGAGGAGAGUGGAAUUCCUAGUGUAGAGGUGAAAUUCGUAGAUAUUAGGAGGAACAUCCGUGGCGAAGGCGACUCUCUGGACCAAUACUGACGCUGAGACGCGAAAGCGUGGGGAGCAAACAGGAUUAGAUA
Molecule: ribosomal RNA, 279 nt
Filed under: uncultured bacterium
Lineage: Bacteria
Description: partial 16S ribosomal RNA
Rfam family: Bacterial small subunit ribosomal RNA
Source: RNAcentral